GUCUUUCAUCCAGGUUGUAAUUGCAGUGGAAGGGGAGACCAAACAUUCAAAGAUUGCUGAAGAGCCAACGAACUCUGAUUCUGUCAAGAUGAUGUCUUUGAUUUCUUUCACAAACUUCAGUGGCACAGCCUUUAGCUGGUAAAGACAAAAAGGUUUAUAUGUAAACCAAGACAAACUAAUGAAGAUGUUGAAUAAGCUUGACAAAUGCAAAUAAUGUACAAAGCAAGGAAAAUGAAAAAAAGCAUGCUACCUAGCACUCUGGAAAGUUAGGAAAAUGCAAGAAGACAUAUGUAGAUGAGACAAAGAUAGACCAUGUCUAUACAUGUAUGAAAUGGAUGGGAGACAAAGGAAGCAACACUCAUGAGCCAGGACCAUAAAAGCCACAGAAAUAUAAGAAAUGAAUGGGACUACUCUCUGAUCAUUGAAAAAGAGAGACAGAACAUUCGAUGGAGGCAGAAAGAGCAAGGAGUCAGGAGCAGGCAUGGCAUGACAAGCAACCCAGGAACCAUGGGGCAGCAGAAGAGACAGCUCUAUGCAAUCUCACAGUACAAUCAUGUCUGAAAGUACACACUUCUAAAAGUCAUACAUUUCUUGCAAGCAUCAUUUCAGAUGGCUGGAUAGAAGUUUGAAGCAGGCUAAUAAAACUUUGGAAGUGGCAUUUUUUACCUUUAACAGGGAAGAUGCUGAAUUGCACAUUGAGAAUUCUCCGAUAUUUGACCUACUAGAAAUUCAUGACUUCCCUUGGACCCUCAGCUGCUUUAAAGAUAUUAGUUUGUUUUAGACAUGUCAGAAACAAGAAAUACAGAAGAAAGACAUCAAGUGGAAUGCAAACUUGUGCUUAUAAAGCAACCAAAUGUUGUUUCUCUAAUGAAAGUAUCAUAAACUGGCAAAAGCUUUUGGCACCUCAGGAACUUGAGAGACAUUGAUUAUUUUAGACACUUAAAAUGCAAGAACCAAAGAAGAAUAAAGACCACGUUUCCAGUUUCCAACAUAAGAGAGUAAAUAUCACAAGGCACAUACACAAGAUGAAACAUUGACAUUUCACAGAAUCGGUUAAUGAGAAAAGAAUAAAAAGGAACAACAUACAUAGAGAAACGAUGUAAAGCACACCAACACCACACUUUAAAGACAUCAUUUCAUGAUAAGGAUUUAUUUUGAAGGACAAAAAAAGAGAAACCAAGAAGACCCCACACCCAGAAAGACCAAUGUGUUAACAGUCGCUCAAGACAGGUUUAGGUGGUCAAUCACAGAGGGUAAAGGAUUAUAGAUAAAACUGGAGAUGAACAAAAGGAUGGGAAAGCAGAAUUCAACACAAAAGAGGCCUUGAUGAUUCCAAGAAGAGCUGCUAUACCUGUGGUAUUGCCUCUGAAUUUGCUGAUUCAGAAGAUGUCGGACUCAUGUUAUCCUAUAGAAGAUGUAACAACCCAUAUACAUUUAUGAAAAUCAGGAACUACAUUAUUAUAAUGAUGAAGGAAAAGCCCAAGAAAUCAACCAACCUGAAACCUGCAAUGAAGCUGUGCAGCUGUCUUUGCCAACAGGGUUCUGCACCUCAAAACUGUAUACCCCACUGUCACUCGGUGCUACAUUGAUGAUCUUAAGGCCGGAUACUUUGUUGAAGAAGCUUAUUUUGUAUUUGUUGUCACUUGUUAGCUCUUUUCCAUCCUUAAACCACUUAGUACUGAGUUCAGGGGUGCCAGCUACUGUACACUCCAAGGUACAGGUGUCUCCCGUGGUAACUUUUAUGGAUUCUGGCUUUUCUACAAUUGUUGCAGGCUCUGGAAUGAAAUGUAAAAGAUAUCCAUAUUUUAAACUCAAAUUGAAAAACUAAAGAAAAUACAG
Molecule: long non-coding RNA, 1839 nt
Filed under: Homo sapiens (human)
Lineage: Eukaryota; Metazoa; Chordata; Mammalia; Primates; Hominidae
Description: long non-coding RNA NONHSAT183200.1
Source: RNAcentral